GUGGGGAAUAUUGGACAAUGGGGGGAACCCUGAUCCAGCCAUGCCGCGUGUGUGAAGAAGGCCUUUUGGUUGUAAAGCACUUUAAGCGAGGAGGAGGCUCUUCUAGUUAAUACCUAGGAUGAGUGGACGUUACUCGCAGAAUAAGCACCGGCUAACUCUGUGCCAGCAGCCGCGGUAAUACAGAGGGUGCGAGCGUUAAUCGGAUUUACUGGGCGUAAAGCGUGCGUAGGCGGCUUUUUAAGUCGGAUGUGAAAUCCCUGAGCUUAACUUAGGAAUUGCAUUCGAUACUGGAAAGCUAGAGUAUGGGAGAGGAUGGUAGAAUUCCAGGUGUAGCGGUGAAAUGCGUAGAGAUCUGGAGGAAUACCGAUGGCGAAGGCAGCCAUCUGGCCUAAUACUGACGCUGAGGUACGAAAGCAUGGGGAGCAAACAGGAUUAGAUACCCCGGUAGUCC
This 451-nucleotide ribosomal RNA is filed under the name uncultured bacterium. RNAcentral's name for it is "partial 16S ribosomal RNA". It matches the Rfam family "Bacterial small subunit ribosomal RNA", at positions 354 to 796 of the family's 1533-position model. The record is from RNAcentral.